This 376-nucleotide ribosomal RNA is filed under the name uncultured bacterium. Its description in RNAcentral is "bacterial SSU rRNA". It matches the Rfam family "Bacterial small subunit ribosomal RNA", at positions 28 to 404 of the family's 1533-position model. The record is from RNAcentral.
GACGAACGCUGGCGGCGUGCUUAACACAUGCAAGUCGAGCGGUAAGGCCCUUUCGGGGGUACACGAGCGGCGAACGGGUGAGUAACACGUGGGUGACCUGCCCUCAGCUCUGGGAUAAGCCUGGGAAACCGGGUCUAAUACUGGAUAUGACUCCAUGACGCAUGUUGGUGGGGUGGAAAGCCUUGUGCGGCUGAGGAUGGGCCCGCGGCCUAUCAGCUUGUUGGUGGGGUGAGGCCUACCAAGGCGACGACGGGUAGCCGGCCCGAGAGGGCGACCGGCCACACUGGGACUGAGACACGGCCCAGACUCCUACGGGAGGCAGCAGGUGGGGAAUCUUGCGCAAUGGGCGAAAGCCUGACGCAGCGACGCCGCGUGA